This 497-nucleotide ribosomal RNA is filed under the name uncultured bacterium. Its description in RNAcentral is "partial 16S ribosomal RNA". It matches the Rfam family "Bacterial small subunit ribosomal RNA", at positions 28 to 507 of the family's 1533-position model. The record is from RNAcentral.
GAUGAACGCUGGCGGCGUGCCUAAUACAUGCAAGUCGAGCGAACAGACGAGUAGCUUGCUCCUCUGACGUUAGCGGCGGACGGGUGAGUAACACGUGGAUAACCUACCUAUAAGACUGGGAUAACUUCGGGAAACCGGAGCUAAUACCGGAUAAUAUAUUGAACCGCAUGGUUCAAUAGUGAAAGACGGUUUUGCUGUCACUUAUAGAUGGAUCCGCGCCGCAUUAGCUAGUUGGUAAGGUAACGGCUUACCAAGGCAACGAUGCGUAGCCGACCUGAGAGGGUGAUCGGCCACACUGGAACUGGGACACGGUCCAGACUCCUACGGGAGGCAGCAGUAGGGAAUCUUCCGCAAUGGGCGAAAGCUUGACGGAGCAACGCCGCGUGAGUGAUGAAGGUCUUCGGAUCGUAAAACUCUGUUAUUAGGGAAGAACAAAUGUGUAAGUAACUAUGCACGUCUUGACGGUACCUAAUCAGAAAGCCACGGCUAACUACGUG